This 497-nucleotide ribosomal RNA is filed under the name uncultured bacterium. RNAcentral's name for it is "partial 16S ribosomal RNA". It matches the Rfam family "Bacterial small subunit ribosomal RNA", at positions 28 to 507 of the family's 1533-position model. The record is from RNAcentral.
GAUGAACGCUGGCGGCGUGCCUAAUACAUGCAAGUCGAGCGAACAGACGAGGAGCUUGCUCCUCUGACGUUAGCGGCGGACGGGUGAGUAACACGUGGAUAACCUACCUAUAGGACUGGGAUAACUUCGGGAAACCGGAGCUAAUACCGGAUAAUAUAUUGAACCGCAUGGUUCAAUAGUGAAAGACGGUUUUGCUGUCACUUAUAGAUGGAUCCGCGCCGCAUUAGCUAGUUGGUAAGGUAACGGCUUACCAAGGCGACGAUGCGUAGCCGACCUGAGAGGGUGAUCAGCCACACUGGAACUGAGACACGGUCCAGACUCCUACGGGAGGCAGCAGUAGGGAAUCUUCCGCAAUGGGCGAAAGCCUGACGGAGCAACGCCGCGUGAGUGAUGAAGGUCUUCGGAUCGUAAAACUCUGUUAUUAGGGAAGAACAAAUGUGUAAGUAACUAUGCACGUCUUGACGGUACCUAAUCAGAAAGCCACGGCUAACUACGUG